RNAcentral lists this ribosomal RNA (301 nucleotides) under uncultured bacterium. RNAcentral describes it as "partial 16S ribosomal RNA". It matches the Rfam family "Bacterial small subunit ribosomal RNA", at positions 509 to 807 of the family's 1533-position model. The record is from RNAcentral.
CAGUCGCCACGGUAAUACGGAGGAUCCAAGCGUUAUCCGGAAUCAUUGGGUUUAAAGGGUCCGUAGGCGGUCUUGUAAGUCAGUGGUGAAAGCCCAUCGCUCAACGGUGGAACGGCCAUUGAUACUGCAGGACUUGAAUUAUUGGGAAGUAACUAGAAUAUGUAGUGUAGCGGUGAAAUGCUUAGAGAUUACAUGGAAUACCAAUUGCGAAGGCAGGUUACUACCAAUUGAUUGACGCUGAUGGACGAAAGCGUGGGUAGCGAACAGGAUCAGAUACCCGCGUAGUCCCUGUCUCUUAUAC